GACACAGCCCAGGUAACACACAGGGAAGCGCUGAACCACCUCACUCUUGGGGGCUGGGAACUCCACUGUGGGGGAGGCACUGUCAGACACCCAAAGCCCCCCAAAACACCCCAGAGCCCGAACAUCCCUCCAGAACCCCUCCCCACCCCUCAGUACUCACCCAGCAUGCAAACCCCCCAUCAAGACCUCUUGGAGGCUGGGCACUCCAGUGUGGGGGGAACAUGGCAGAUGUCCCAGAGCCCUUCAAGACCCCCCCAGAACACCCCCAGAACUCCCAACACCCCCAACUGCACUGCCUUGCUCCUGGGGGCCAGGUGGUGGGGAACAUUGUCAGACACGUCCCCAAACCUCCCUAAAAGCCACCCUUCUCCCAGCUGCCCUUCCCCAGCAAAGGCAACCUCCAGACACACAAGCCCCCUCCUCUGUAGUCGCCCUAUCCCCUCGCAGGACUCCCCCAGGAGUCCUCCAGCCAUUCUUAGUCACUCCCAGACUCCCAAUCCCUUCCUGGGUACCCCCCAGCACCACCCCAAUUCUUUCACAGGUACCCCCCUUAAGCCCCAUACCCUGCAGGGGAGGCUCCCCCAGCCGGGGGGGGUCUGUCCCCAGGCCGUUGCCUGCUGCCCGGACACUUCGCCGUUCCGCCGUCAGCUGGGGGACAGGGGGACACAGCCCCCUCAGAUGUCACACCACAGUGACCUCCAGGGACCCCGUGGUGACCCACAGUCCCCCAGACGUCACACAAGGGGCACCCGUAGCCCUCCUGGCUGUCACACCGUGGACAGGGACACACGGGGACCCUCAGGGAUCCCUGGCCCCUGUGCCCUGCAGCAGGUCUGUGGGGUGGGGAGGGGCUCACUCAGGAACAGGCUUUGGGGUUGGCUGGAGGGGCCCAGAGGUCUCACCUGUGAGCAGAUGUGGUGCAGGCUAGGGCAUGUCCUGGUGGGUUUCUGGGGGUCUCACCUGGGCACAGAUGUGGUGCAGACCACAGAAGGGGAAUUUGGGGCGGGUUACCUUGGCCUGGGGGGUCUUGGGGGUGUUUCAUCGGGGCCCAGACCUGGUGCAGGACAGGUGGGGGGUUCUUGGGGGCUUUUUUGGGGUCUCAUCUAGGCAGAGAUGCAGCUCAGGCCAAGGUGGCAGUUUGGGGGGGAAACCAAGUUUGGGGGCUGGGAAUGUUUUGCCUGGACACAGAACCGGUGUUUGGCCAGAGCGGGGAUUCCCAGGGAAAUUUCACGGGGUGUCUCACUUGAUCACAGACAUGGUGCAGGCUACGGGGAUG
RNAcentral lists this long non-coding RNA (1276 nucleotides) under Cyanistes caeruleus (blue tit). RNAcentral's name for it is "lncRNA (ENSCCEG00000003476.1)". Lineage: Eukaryota; Metazoa; Chordata; Aves; Passeriformes; Paridae. The record is from RNAcentral.